Molecule: ribosomal RNA, 404 nt
Filed under: uncultured eukaryote
Lineage: Eukaryota
Description: bacterial SSU rRNA
Rfam family: Eukaryotic small subunit ribosomal RNA
Source: RNAcentral
UAAUACGUGCGUAAAUCCCGACUUCUGGAAGGGACGUAUUUAUUAUAUUUNNAGGCCAGCCGGGCUUGCCCGACCUAUGGCGAAUCAUGAUAACUUCACGAAUCGCAUGGCCUCGUGCCGGCGAUGUUCCAUUCAAAUUUCUGCCCUAUCAACUUUCGAUGGUAGGGAUAGAGGCCUACCAUGGUGGUAACGGGUGACGGAGGAUUAGGGUUCGAUUCGGAGAGGGAGCCUGAGAAACGGCUACCACAUCCAAGGAAGGCCAGCAGGCGCGCAAAAUUACCAAUCCCCGACACGGGGAAGGUAGUGACAAUAAAAUAACCAUACCCGGGCAUCAAUGUCUGGUAAAUUGGAAUGAGUACAAUCCUAAAUCCCCUUAAACGAGUAUCCAUUGGGAAGGGCAAAGU